Molecule: transfer RNA, 72 nt
Filed under: Candidatus Omnitrophota bacterium
Lineage: Bacteria; Pseudomonadati; Candidatus Omnitrophota
Description: Candidatus Omnitrophica bacterium tRNA-Arg
Rfam family: tRNA
About the family: Transfer RNA (tRNA) molecules are approximately 80 nucleotides in length. Their secondary structure includes four short double-helical elements and three loops (D, anti-codon, and T loops).
Source: RNAcentral
GCCCCCUUAGCUCAACGGAUAGAGCGUUGGCCUCCGGAGCCAAAGAUGGAAGUUCGAUUCUUCCAGGGGGCA